This 465-nucleotide ribosomal RNA is filed under the name Vreelandella stevensii. Its description in RNAcentral is "partial 16S ribosomal RNA". It matches the Rfam family "Bacterial small subunit ribosomal RNA", at positions 338 to 795 of the family's 1533-position model. The record is from RNAcentral. Lineage: Bacteria; Pseudomonadati; Pseudomonadota; Gammaproteobacteria; Oceanospirillales; Halomonadaceae.
CCUACGGGUGGCUGCAGUGGGGAAUAUUGGACAAUGGGCGAAAGCCUGAUCCAGCCAUGCCGCGUGUGUGAAGAAGGCCUUCGGGUUGUAAAGCACUUUCAGUGGGGAAGAAAGCCUUGGGGCUAAUACCCUCGAGGAAGGACAUCACCCACAGAAGAAGCACCGGCUAACUCCGUGCCAGCAGCCGCGGUAAUACGGAGGGUGCGAGCGUUAUUCGGAAUUACUGGGCGUAAAGCGCGCGUAGGCGGUCUGAUAAGCCGGUUGUGAAAGCCCCGGGCUCAACCUGGGAACGGCAUCCGGAACUGUCAGGCUAGAGUGCAGGAGAGGAAGGUAGAAUUCCCGGUGUAGCGGUGAAAUGCGUAGAGAUCGGGAGGAAUACCAGUGGCGAAGGCGGCCUUCUGGACUGACACUGACGCUGAGGUGCGAAAGCGUGGGUAGCAAACAGGAUUAGAUACCCUGGUAGUC